RNAcentral lists this ribosomal RNA (1343 nucleotides) under uncultured bacterium. RNAcentral's name for it is "16S ribosomal RNA". It matches the Rfam family "Bacterial small subunit ribosomal RNA", at positions 28 to 1378 of the family's 1533-position model. The record is from RNAcentral.
GACGAACGCUGGCGGCGUGCUUAACACAUGCAAGUCGAACGGAAAGGCCCUGCUUUUGUGGGGUGCUCGAGUGGCGAACGGGUGAGUAACACGUGAGUAACCUGCCCUUGACUUUGGGAUAACUUCAGGAAACUGGGGCUAAUACCGGAUAGGAGCUCCUGCUGCAUGGUGAGGGUUGGAAAGUUUCGGCGGUUGGGGAUGGACUCGCGGCUUAUCAGCUUGUUGGUGGGGUAGUGGCUUACCAAGGCUUUGACGGGUAGCCGGCCUGAGAGGGUGACCGGCCACAUUGGGACUGAGAUACGGCCCAGACUCCUACGGGAGGCAGCAGUGGGGAAUAUUGCACAAUGGGCGGAAGCCUGAUGCAGCAACGCCGCGUGCGGGAUGACGGCCUUCGGGUUGUAAACCGCUUUCGCCUGUGACGAAGCGUGAGUGACGGUAAUGGGUAAAGAAGCACCGGCUAACUACGUGCCAGCAGCCGCGGUGAUACGUAGGGUGCGAGCGUUGUCCGGAUUUAUUGGGCGUAAAGGGCUCGUAGGUGGUUGAUCGCGUCGGAAGUGUAAUCUUGGGGCUUAACCCUGAGCGUGCUUUCGAUACGGGUUGACUUGAGGAAGGUAGGGGAGAAUGGAAUUCCUGGUGGAGCGGUGGAAUGCGCAGAUAUCAGGAGGAACACCAGUGGCGAAGGCGGUUCUCUGGGCCUUUCCUGACGCUGAGGAGCGAAAGCGUGGGGAGCGAACAGGCUUAGAUACCCUGGUAGUCCACGCUGUAAACGGUGGGUACUAGGUGUGGGGUCCAUUCCACGGGUUCCGUGCCGUAGCUAACGCUUUAAGUACCCCGCCUGGGGAGUACGGCCGCAAGGCUAAAACUCAAAGGAAUUGACGGGGCCCCGCACAAGCGGCGGAGCAUGCGGAUUAAUUCGAUGCAACGCGUAGAACCUUACCUGGGUUUGACAUGGAUCGGGAGUGCUCAGAGAUGGGUGUGCCUCUUUUGGGGUCGGUUCACAGGUGGUGCAUGGCUGUCGUCAGCUCGUGUCGUGAGAUGUUGGGUUAAGUCCCGCAACGAGCGCAACCCUUGUUCACUGUUGCCAGCACGUUAUGGUGGGGACUCAGUGGAGACCGCCGGGGUCAACUCGGAGGAAGGUGGGGAUGACGUCAAGUCAUCAUGCCCCUUAUGUCCAGGGCUUCACGCAUGCUACAAUGGCUGGUACAGAGAGUGGCGAGCCUGUGAGGGUGAGCGAAUCUCGGAAAGCCGGUCUCAGUUCGGAUUGGGGUCUGCAACUCGACCUCAUGAAGUCGGAGUCGCUAGUAAUCGCAGAUCAGCAACGCUGCGGUGAAUACGUUCCCGGG